GAUUUUAUAUUAUUUUAAGAGUCGUUGUUUAAAUCAAGUAGAAAAAUAAAACAAUUACAUAUCGUGUAAUUAAAUAGAGGUUGCCUGCCACAACAUGGCCCUGGAACUCUUAAUUUACUCUGACACCAUUAACGGUUUCUUUCAUUCUUCUUUUUUCCAAUUUUUAAAUAUUUAUUAUUAUCUCAAAAACCAAAGAAGGAAUGGGAGGUUAUGGUUAUGGAGCAAACCAAAGGAAACAAGCCUCGAGAAUAAAGGUAAUCCCCAACCAUAGUAGGCUUGGAGGUGUGAGGGAAUUCGGAGUGGCCUCCCAUUCUGAAAGUUUGAUUUUCUUCUGGUGAAUUGGACAUCCUUUUAUUUACGUUUGAAGUUUUGGGUUUUUAAAUGUAGUAAGGCCGCUGUAAUAUCCCGAAUUAGGGCCUAAUCGGAAUAGUGAUUUCGUGACUACAAAUCUGAGAUAGAAAUAAUUAUUUUAUAAUUAUUUUGAGGUUUAUGAUAUGAUUGAAUUAUUGUGUGAAAA
Long non-coding RNA from Gossypium arboreum, 517 nucleotides. RefSeq lists it as uncharacterized. NCBI's taxonomy places the organism in Eukaryota, Viridiplantae, Streptophyta, Magnoliopsida, Malvales, Malvaceae. The transcript is spliced from 2 exons. The record is from RefSeq and is a predicted model, not a curated record.